Molecule: ribosomal RNA, 253 nt
Filed under: uncultured bacterium
Lineage: Bacteria
Description: partial 16S ribosomal RNA
Rfam family: Bacterial small subunit ribosomal RNA
Source: RNAcentral
UACGUAGGUGGCAAGCGUUGUCCGGAAUUAUUGGGCGUAAAGCGCGCGCAGGCGGUUCCUUAAGUCUGAUGUGAAAGCCCACGGCUCGACCGUGGAGGGUCAUUGGAAACUGGGGAACUUGAGUGCAGGAGAGAAGAGUGGAAUUCCACGUGUAGCGGUGAAAUGCGUAGAGAUGUGGAGGAACACCAGUGGCGAAGGCGACUCUUUGGCCUGUAACUGACGCUGAGGCGCGAAAGCGUGGGGAGCAAACAGG